UACGUAGGGGGCGAGCGUUGUCCGGAUUUAUUGGGCGUAAAGAGCUCGUAGGCGGUUCGAUAAGUCGGACGUGAAAUCUCCACGCUCAACGUGGAGGGGCCGUUCGAUACUGUCGUGACUCGAGUCCGGUAGGGGAGUGUGGAAUUCCCGGUGUAGCGGUGAAAUGCGCAGAUAUCGGGAGGAACACCAGUGGCGAAGGCGGCACUCUGGGCCAGUACUGACGCUGAGGAGCGAAAGCGUGGGGAGCGAACAGG
Molecule: ribosomal RNA, 254 nt
Filed under: uncultured bacterium
Lineage: Bacteria
Description: partial 16S ribosomal RNA
Rfam family: Bacterial small subunit ribosomal RNA
Source: RNAcentral